Non-coding RNA from Picea glauca (white spruce), 121 nucleotides. Lineage: Eukaryota; Viridiplantae; Streptophyta; Pinopsida; Pinales; Pinaceae. The record is from Rfam.
ACAUGCCUACAUCAUAGCGUUAAUGCAUUGGAUCUCAUUAGAAAUCCACAAUUAAGCGCACUCAUGCUAGAGUAGUACUAGGAUGGGUGACCACUUAGGAAGUCCUAGUAUUUUACAAGCC